GUAAAUAUAGUUUACCUAAAACCCUAGACUGUGAAUCUAGAAACAGAAGCUCAUAUCUUCUUAUUUACC
This 69-nucleotide transfer RNA is filed under the name Lacerta agilis (Sand lizard). RNAcentral's name for it is "tRNA-His". It matches the Rfam family "tRNA". From Rfam's summary of the family: Transfer RNA (tRNA) molecules are approximately 80 nucleotides in length. Their secondary structure includes four short double-helical elements and three loops (D, anti-codon, and T loops). Further hydrogen bonds mediate the characteristic L-shaped molecular structure. tRNAs have two regions of fundamental functional importance: the anti-codon, which is responsible for specific mRNA codon recognition, and the 3' end, to which the tRNAs corresponding amino acid is attached (by aminoacyl-tRNA synthetases). tRNAs cope with the degeneracy of the genetic code in two manners: having more than one tRNA (with a specific anti-codon) for a particular amino acid; and 'wobble' base-pairing, i.e. permitting non-standard base-pairing at the 3rd anti-codon position. RNAcentral also lists the same sequence under 1 other name. The record is from RNAcentral. Lineage: Eukaryota; Metazoa; Chordata; Lepidosauria; Squamata; Lacertidae.